This 722-nucleotide ribosomal RNA is filed under the name uncultured Bacteroidales bacterium. RNAcentral's name for it is "bacterial SSU rRNA". It matches the Rfam family "Bacterial small subunit ribosomal RNA", at positions 46 to 757 of the family's 1533-position model. Lineage: Bacteria; Pseudomonadati; Bacteroidota; Bacteroidia; Bacteroidales. The record is from RNAcentral.
GCUUAACACAUGCAAAUCGAGGGGCAGCAUGGUCUUAGCUUGCUAAGGCCGAUGGCGACCGGCGCACGGGUGAGUAACACGUAUCCAACCUGCCGUCUACUCUUGGACAGCCUUCUGAAAGGAAGAUUAAUACAAGAUGGCAUCAUGAGUCCGCAUGUUCACAUGAUUAAAGGUAUUCCGGUAGACGAUGGGGAUGCGUUCCAUUAGAUAGUAGGCGGGGUAACGGCCCACCUAGUCUUCGAUGGAUAGGGGUUCUGAGAGGAAGGUCCCCCACAUUGGAACUGAGACACGGUCCAAACUCCUACGGGAGGCAGCAGUGAGGAAUAUUGGUCAAUGGGCGAGAGCCUGAACCAGCCAAGUAGCGUGAAGGAUGACUGCCCUAUGGGUUGUAAACUUCUUUUAUAAAGGAAUAAAGUCGGGUAUGUAUACCCGUUUGCAUGUACUUUAUGAAUAAGGAUCGGCUAACUCCGUGCCAGCAGCCGCGGUAAUACGGAGGAUCCGAGCGUUAUCCGGAUUUAUUGGGUUUAAAGGGAGCGUAGAUGGAUGUUUAAGUCAGUUGUGAAAGUUUGCGGCUCAACCGUAAAAUUGCAGUUGAUACUGGAUAUCUUGAGUGCAGUUGAGGCAGGCGGAAUUCGUGGUGUAGCGGUGAAAUGCUUAGAUAUCACGAAGAACUCCGAUUGCGAAGGCAGCCUGCUAAGCUGCAACUGACAUUGGGGCUCGAA